This 429-nucleotide ribosomal RNA is filed under the name Bacteroidota bacterium. RNAcentral's name for it is "Bacteroidetes bacterium partial 16S ribosomal RNA". It matches the Rfam family "Bacterial small subunit ribosomal RNA", at positions 355 to 776 of the family's 1533-position model. The record is from RNAcentral. Lineage: Bacteria; Pseudomonadati; Bacteroidota.
UAGGGAAUCUUCCGCAAUGGACGCAAGUCCGACGGAGCAACGCCGCGUGAGUGAAGAAGGAUUUCGGUUCGUAAAACUCUGUUGUUAGAGAAGAACAGCGCAUAGAGUAACUGUUAUGCGUGUGACGGUAUCUAACCAGAAAGCCACGGCUAACUACGUGCCAGCAGCCGCGGUAAUACGUAGGUGGCAAGCGUUGUCCGGAUUUAUUGGGCGUAAAGCGAGCGCAGGCGGUCAAUUAAGUCUGAUGUGAAAGCCCCCGGCUCAACCGGGGAGGGUCAUUGGAAACUGGUUGACUUGAGUGCAGAAGAGGAGAGUGGAAUUCCAUGUGUAGCGGUGAAAUGCGUAGAUAUAUGGAGGAACACCGGUGGCGAAAGCGGCUCUCUGGUCUGUAACUGACGCUGAGGCUCGAAAGCGUGGGGAGCGAACAGG